UUUGACUUCCAUCAUGGCCCGGAUCCUUGUUCUCUUCAGCUUUCUCACUUACUACUCAGGUGUCCUUUCACAGCCAACGUUGACUCAGUCUGCCUCACAAUCGACGUCCUUGGGGCAAAACGUUAAAUUCUCCUGCUUGAAAAGUAGCGGUGGAAACUGGGGCUACUUUCUCUGGUAUCAACAGAAACCUGGACAGGCUCCUCGCUUUGUGUGGUAUGGCGGCUCCAGCACCAGGGGAGACGGAAUUCCAGACCGGUUCACUGGUUCUACCUCUGGGAACACCGGCUAUUUAACCAUCUCCAACACCCAGGCUGAAGAUGAGGCCGUUUAUCAUUGUUGUGCCUGGGAGAGCACUGGCAGUGAUAAGUUCCACGGUGGUACAAUCUAA
Zootoca vivipara (common lizard) is the source of this 388-nucleotide non-coding RNA. The record is from the annotation of a RefSeq genome assembly. Lineage: Eukaryota; Metazoa; Chordata; Lepidosauria; Squamata; Lacertidae.